The sequence is a ribosomal RNA, 403 nucleotides long. It matches the Rfam family "Bacterial small subunit ribosomal RNA", at positions 355 to 774 of the family's 1533-position model.
UGGGGGAUAUUGCACAAUGGGCGAAAGCCUGAUGCAGCGAUGCCGCGUGGGGGAAGAAUGUCCUAUGGAUUGUAAACCCCUGUCUUCAGGGAAGAAAAUGACGGUACCUGAGGAGGAAGCUCCGGCUAACUACGUGCCAGCAGCCGCGGUAAUACGUAGGGAGCGAGCGUUGUCCGGAAUUACUGGGUGUAAAGGGAGUGUAGGCGGGUUAUCAAGUUGAAUGUGAAAUUUAUCGGCUUAACCGGUAAGCUGCGUUCAAAACUGAUAAUCUUGAGUGAAGUAGAGGUCGGCGGAAUUCCUAGUGUAGCGGUGAAAUGCGUAGAUAUUAGGAGGAACACCAGUGGCGAAGGCGGCCGACUGGGCUUUAACUGACGCUGAGGCUCGAAAGCGUGGGGAGCAAACA